UUACAAAAGGAAAAUACAAGGAAAGCGAGAGGCCUCGCUGACUUGGGGGAAAUCGACAGGAAUGGGCACAGUGUCAGAAAGCCCCCGACCCCAGACCGUGCCCCCUU
Molecule: unclassified non-coding RNA, 107 nt
Organism: Microcebus murinus (gray mouse lemur)
Lineage: Eukaryota; Metazoa; Chordata; Mammalia; Primates; Cheirogaleidae
Source: Ensembl